This 301-nucleotide ribosomal RNA is filed under the name uncultured bacterium. Its description in RNAcentral is "partial 16S ribosomal RNA". It matches the Rfam family "Bacterial small subunit ribosomal RNA", at positions 509 to 810 of the family's 1533-position model. The record is from RNAcentral.
CAGUCGCCGCGGGAAUACGAAGGGUGCAAGCGUUAAUCGGAAUUACUGGGCGUAAAGCGUGCGUAGGCGGUUUGUUAAGUCUGUUGUGAAAUCCCCGGGCUCAACCUGGGAAUGGCAAUGGAUACUGGCAAGCUAGAGUGUGUCAGAGGAUGGUGGAAUUCCCGGUGUAGCGGUGAAAUGCGUAGAGAUCGGGAGGAACAUCAGUGGCGAAGGCGGCCAUCUGGGACAACACUGACGCUGAGGCACGAAAGCGUGGGGAGCAAACAGGAUUAGAUCCGGUAGUCCCUGUCUCUUAUACACA